Molecule: ribosomal RNA, 495 nt
Filed under: uncultured bacterium
Lineage: Bacteria
Description: bacterial SSU rRNA
Rfam family: Bacterial small subunit ribosomal RNA
Source: RNAcentral
AUUGAACGCUGGCGGCAUGCCUUACACAUGCAAGUCGAACGGCAGCGCGGGUGCUUGCACCUGGCGGCGAGUGGCGAACGGGUGAGUAAUACAUCGGAACGUGCCCUAGAGUGGGGGAUAACUAGUUGAAAGAUUAGCUAAUACCGCAUACGAUUUACGGAUGAAAGUGGGGGACCGCAAGGCCUCAUGCUCCUGGAGCGGCCGAUGUUUGAUUAGCUAGUUGGUGGGGUAAUAGCCUACCAAGGCGACGAUCAGUAGCUGGUUUGAGAGGACGACCAGCCCCCCUGGGACUGAGACACGGCCCAGACUCCUUCGGGAGGCAGCAGUGGGGAAUUUUGGACAAUGGGGGCAACCCUGAUCCAGCAAUGCCGCGUGUGUGAAGAAGGCCUUCGGGUUGUAAAGCACUUUUGUCAGGAACGAAACGGUGGGGGGUAAUACCUCCUGCUAAUGACCUUAAAGGGAGAAUAAGCACCGGCUAACUACGUGCCAGCAGCC